This 607-nucleotide ribosomal RNA is filed under the name uncultured bacterium. RNAcentral's name for it is "bacterial SSU rRNA". The stretch from base 1 to 540 matches the Rfam family "Bacterial small subunit ribosomal RNA", at positions 338 to 873 of the family's 1533-position model. The record is from RNAcentral.
CCUACGGGAGGCAGCAGUGGGGAAUUUUGGACAAUGGGCGCAAGCCUGAUCCAGCCAUGCCGCGUGUGGGAAGAAGGCCUUCGGGUUGUAAACCACUUUUGUCAGGGAAGAAACGGCUUUUUCUAAUACAGAGAGCUAAUGACGGUACCUGAAGAAUAAGCACCGGCUAACUACGUGCCAGCAGCCGCGGUAAUACGUAGGGUGCAAGCGUUAAUCGGAAUUACUGGGCGUAAAGCGUGCGCAGGCGGCUUUGCAAGACAGAUGUGAAAUCCCCGGGCUCAACCUGGGAACUGCAUUUGUGACUGCAUGGCUAGAGUACGGUAGAGGGGGUAUGGAAUUCCGCGUGUAGCAGUGAAAUGCGUAGAUAUGCGGAGGAACACCGAUGGCGAAGGCAAUCCCCUGGACCUGUACUGACGCUCAUGCACGAAAGCGUGGGGAGCAAACAGGAUUAGAUACCCUGGUAGUCCACGCCCUAAACGAUGUCAACUGGUGUUGGACGGCUUGCUGUUCAGUACGAGNUAACGCGUGAAGUUGACCGCUGGGGAUCGGCCGNGAGUGAACUNAAUGAGUUGACGNGNGAGAGNGCGAGACGACGACGAGGGAGAGG